AGGGUUGAUAGGCCGGGUGUGUAAGCGCAGCGAUGCGUUGAGCUAACCGGUACUAAUGAACCGUGAGGCUUAACCUUACAACGCCGAAGGUGUUU
Molecule: ribosomal RNA, 95 nt
Filed under: Klebsiella pneumoniae subsp. pneumoniae
Lineage: Bacteria; Pseudomonadati; Pseudomonadota; Gammaproteobacteria; Enterobacterales; Enterobacteriaceae
Description: partial 23S ribosomal RNA
Rfam family: Bacterial large subunit ribosomal RNA (bases 1-77)
Source: RNAcentral